CAGCCGCCGCGGGAAAACAGAGGGUGCGAGCGUUAAUCGGAUUUACUGGGCGUAAAGCGUGCGUAGGCGGCUUUUUAAGUCGGAUGUGAAAUCCCUGAGCUUAACUUAGGAAUUGCAUUCGAUACUGGGAAGCUAGAGUAUGGGAGAGGAUGGUAGAAUUCCAGGUGUAGCGGUGAAAUGCGUAGAGAUCUGGAGGAAUACCGAUGGCGAAGGCAGCCAUCUGGCCUAAUACUGACGCUGAGGUACGAAAGCAUGGGGAGCAAACAGGAUUAGAUACCCCGUAGUCCCUGUCUCUUAUACC
Molecule: ribosomal RNA, 301 nt
Filed under: uncultured bacterium
Lineage: Bacteria
Description: partial 16S ribosomal RNA
Rfam family: Bacterial small subunit ribosomal RNA
Source: RNAcentral